Long non-coding RNA from Zalophus californianus (California sea lion), 959 nucleotides. RefSeq lists it as uncharacterized. NCBI's taxonomy places the organism in Eukaryota, Metazoa, Chordata, Mammalia, Carnivora, Otariidae. The record is from RefSeq and is a predicted model, not a curated record. The transcript has 4 exons.
ACGACAUGCCAGAUACGAGGCUUGGCAUUUUAUGUAUUAUCGUCAUCUCAGACUUUCUUAGGCUGCACUUUCUCCUGCUAUGGAAUAUGGCCAAAAUGACAUCAUAGUAUGCAGUUCAUUAUGAGAAGAGCUUGCAUCAGAGAAGGCUGUUGUUGAGAUCUUGAAAUGGCUUGACUGGUUACAAUUAUUCAGGGCCUGAUUCUUCACAGGACAUGGUCCUUGCAACCAAGCAGAGAUGGGACUUCAGAGGGACCGACUUCCAAUAUGGGUAGUGGAUAAUUACAUCAGGGAAGCAUCAAAUGUAAUUGGACCUAGAUUGAACCCACUUCAAUAACAGUAAAGGAUAUAAGGCAUACAAUUUUGUGCCUUUAUAUGAAGGCAAGAGGACAAGAUUGGCACAAAUAAUAGAAGAGAAGCUGACGGCAGUAAAUCCUGUCUCUAAACACCACAAGGAUACUAUGUAUGCGUACGUGUGCCAAUGAACUAUGGUGAUAGUGGAAAAAAGACCAGUUCCUCAGCACCACAGCCCUACCACCCACUAACCCCAACAUUUUUCCAUAAGAAACACAGAGUGAGUGAAUAAGUGAAUACUUCUACAAAAUUUCAGAGGGGCUCUAGAUGACAAAACAGUGUCAACUAGAUUUCUAAGUCUGCUGUUUAUUUCAAGUGCCAGAUAACUCAAGUAAAAUAAGUGGAUAAAUAUUCUAUGUUGGUGUAUUUCCCUGGUCGAGAGCCUGGGGGAAGAAUCUAAAUGGUAAUUUGGAGCAGACCUCUUGCUGACAAUUAAAUUCCAUCUGGUCUUUGGGUUAAACAACAUUUAUUCAAUUAUUAUUAUUGUCACAUUUACCACCAGAGGGAGCCCAUAUAUCCCCUUCAACUAGAGACCAACAGGCUCCAAAGUAACAAUGCUUUUACUUCUGAUUUUGGUAUUAAAAUAUAUUAUGUAAUUUUGCCUGGAA